RNAcentral lists this ribosomal RNA (496 nucleotides) under uncultured bacterium. Its description in RNAcentral is "partial 16S ribosomal RNA". It matches the Rfam family "Bacterial small subunit ribosomal RNA", at positions 28 to 507 of the family's 1533-position model. The record is from RNAcentral.
GAUGAACGCUGGCGGCGUGCCUAAUACAUGCAAGUCGAGCGAACAGAUAAGGAGCUUGCUCCUUUGACGUUAGCGGCGGACGGGUGAGUAACACGUGGGUAACCUACCUAUAAGACUGGAAUAACUCCGGGAAACCGGGGCUAAUGCCGGAUAACAUUUAGAACCGCAUGGUUCUAAAGUGAAAGAUGGUUUUGCUAUCACUUAUAGAUGGACCCGCGCCGUAUUAGCUAGUUGGUAAGGUAACGGCUUACCAAGGCAACGAUACGUAGCCGACCUGAGAGGGGGUACGGCCAAAGGGAACGUGAGCAGGGGUACGAGGCCCUAGGGAGGGACGCGGAGGGGAAGCUUCGGAAAGGGGCGAAACCCGAAGGGACAAACCCACGGGAGGGAAUGAAGGGUUUGGGAUCGAAAAACUUGGUUAUUGGGGAAAAAAAAUGUUGUAAGAAACGGGGCAGGUGUUAACGGAACCAAAUAAAAAGCCCGCGGCAAAUACGGG